AUUGAGAGCUCGGAGUCUUACCCACUGGACCACCAGGCAACUGGGUGCCAGCUGCAUUGUCUCAGUGGCUUUCCAAAGGAGACUGACGGACCUACUCCAUAAAUACUGACUGGAAGCCAGAUUACCAGUUAUUAUUAUCACUAUAGAAAAAGAGUGGCAGGGAGACAUGGAGCCAACUGGACCGUGAACCUGUGAAACUGCUGCAGGAAAGAAAGUGGGGUGCGAGAGGAUGACCACGUCCCAGGUCUCAGGCAAGUCCCUGGAUGGCUGCCAAGUGUGGGUUCUUGGCUUUGUGCAGGAAAGAAUUCAAGAGUGAGCCAUAGUAAAGUGAAAGAAGGUUUAUUCAGGGAAAUACACACUCCAUAGACAGAGUGUGGGCCAUACACACUCCAUAGACAGAGGCGAGAGGCCCCAGGAUACAGGAUUGUCAGUUUUUAUAGGGGUGGGUGAUUUCACAGGCUAAUGAGUGGGAUGAUUUUUCCAACAAUUUGGGGGAAGGGGUGGAGAUUUCCAGGAAUUGGGCCACCGCCCUCUUUUUGGCCUUUUAUGGUGGGCCUUGGAACUGUCAUGGUGCUGGUGAGUGUGUCAUUUAGAGGCUAAUGUAUUACAAGGAACACAUAAGGAAGCUCAAGGUCUAGUGGAAGUCAACUCAUCCACCAUCUUGGACCUAGUUGGUUCUAACCAGUUUAUAUUGUGUCCUCAACAGCUGUGUCAUUCUUUUAAAGGUUGUGCCCGGCCCCCUUCCUGUCUUAAAAUGUUGGUCCUGUUAUUUGAAAUACUCACCUGUCUCUAGAUCAGAGACCAACAUUUUUAUUCGGCAUCACUUACAAGUAAUUAGGAUAGUCCAUUAAACAUAUCCUAAGAACCUUUUAUUUCCAAGGGUUAAACGAGUCUGAUUUGACUGUUUAGUAGAGGUCUUGAUAACUGUACAGAGUGUUGACAAAAAAAGUUGGGAAGGGUGAAGGUAAUAGAAAUUUAUCUCUUUCUUUUACUGAGAAGUAAGGAAAAGAGUAUUGAGUAUCUACAUUGUACCAGUAGCUCUUUUAGAUGAGCUCAUUUAUUCACUGAAUUUUCAGAGUUAUAAUUACCAUGCUACCUGCCAAGAAACCAUGGCUCAGAAAAAAUAGAUGACUUACUCAAGGUCACACAGUUAGUGAAAGUAAACUACAGAGUCUGGAUUCAACCCAGGCCUUUCUAAUUCUUUUUUUUUAAUAUAAAUUUAUUUUUAUUUAUAUUAUUU
This is a long non-coding RNA of Balaenoptera musculus (blue whale), 1240 nucleotides long. RefSeq lists it as uncharacterized. The record is from RefSeq and is a predicted model, not a curated record. Lineage: Eukaryota; Metazoa; Chordata; Mammalia; Artiodactyla; Balaenopteridae. The transcript has 3 exons.